AUAAGAGAGAAGAAAGAAAAAA
RNAcentral lists this small RNA (22 nucleotides) under Arabidopsis thaliana (thale cress). RNAcentral describes it as "ATSL103050". The record is from RNAcentral. Lineage: Eukaryota; Viridiplantae; Streptophyta; Magnoliopsida; Brassicales; Brassicaceae.